Astyanax mexicanus (Mexican tetra) is the source of this 451-nucleotide long non-coding RNA. RefSeq lists it as uncharacterized. The record is from RefSeq and is a predicted model, not a curated record. The transcript has 2 exons. NCBI's taxonomy places the organism in Eukaryota, Metazoa, Chordata, Actinopteri, Characiformes, Acestrorhamphidae.
UAAUAAUAAUAAUAAAUAUAGCCGCAAGCGGCGAUUUACGGGGUUCGAGCGUUACAGGCAAAGAGGCCCCUGGAGGCCAGUUAGGCUUAAAACAUGUUGCUUAUUGACCGGCAUCACCAAACUGGAUGAGGAUGACCAGCAUGACCAUAAAGACCAAGCUAGAUUACCAGCAUGACUAAUCUGGAUGACAAAUUUGUUGACCAUAUUGACCAAGAUGGAAGACCAUAAUGACCAAACUGGAUGACCAGCAUGGCAAAGGUGGUUGGCCAGUAUGACCAAGCUGAAUGACCAACAUUGCUAUGAAUACAAAGCUGAAUGACCAGCAGGACCAUAAUGACCAAUGUGAAUGAACAGAAUGACCUAGCUGGAUGAGCAGCAUAACCAAGCUAGGUGGCCAGCCUGACCACAAAGACAGUAAUGACAAUGCCAGAUAAGUGGUGUGAGUAAACUA